GCAAAGGUACCAAUUCCCUCCCCACACCUGGUUUCUCCUUCUUUUUCUUUAGGGAGUUGGGAAUGCCAAGUGGUGGCAGGCCCUACCCUGUACCUCAGCAAAUAGGGAGACGUGUACUCCCUGGCAGACUUCUCAGCAUGUAACUGUUGGGAACAACCACCACUUUUCAUCUAUAGUCACCUCUGCCUGGAGACUGGAAUGAAGAGCUUUAUAUAUUUGUUUCCUGAAGAUGGCAGCAAUGUCUUUACUAUGCAAUACUCCCUGCUUCAUGAGGAUGUUUUGUAGCAGAGAUACAGUACCAACUGUUCAUUUCCACUGUGGCGGAGGAUACAUAUGAGCAUGUAAGAGGUUCACAAAACAACGCUUCCUCUGUUGUGAAAUGGCACCAGGGAGCUACAACAGGCCUUUCCAUCAGGGAAAAUGUUCUUUUCAUUUUAAUAUGACAGGCAAAAUAACUCACAAGGGCAAUCAUACAUAUUGUGCGUGGUGUGUACUGUUGCUUGAGAGAUUUCCUCAGAAAUACAAUGGUAGCAGAGCAAUGUGCAGAGUUAGCACUAAUGAGCUAUGCAUUACUAUUAUGUUCAUUUCACAUCACUCAUGUAGUGAGAUUUGAGUCCCAGGCCUGCUGCUUGGCUGAGUGUUCAUUGCUGAAGCUAAAGUGACAUUUGCAUCCAGCAGGUAAAAAGAGACUGUGGUGCUUUUGUGGGUGGAGUGGUUAAAUCUUCAGGGCAAUGAAAUGAAAGCAGAGGAACUCUGAACCUUUGACCCGAGCAAAGUAUGUGAGAGCUGCUAUGUGGAGAAUCACUUCUGCCACUAUAUAUAGAUAAUGCCUGACCCUUCAGAACAUUUAAAAAUGAAUUUACUGCCAGAGUGACAACACUGGGGACUAAUUAUCAAUGCAGCAGGUAUAGCUUGAGCAAGUUUCCUCACGUUAUCCCACCAACAUGCCUCGACCCUGACUCAGAGAGAUGAUUUUUCAUGCCCAUUACAGCCACUGACUUCCUGUUGAGGCUGAAAAUAAGCGGAGCAGGUGCUGCAAUGGAUUUGGCAGGAGGACAUCUGUCUGCUAGAAAAUUAUCUGAAAGGCCCAGCACUCACAAAGUGGCUUGGACCAGGCUGAUGCUAUUCGUUACUUGAGCCUCUGAAUGACCCUUGAUCAGCCAGUCACUGAGGAGUACUGUCUCAGAGGCGGAGCCAAGAAGCAUGGCAGCUGUUGAGGCCUGAAGUGCUUCCUCGAAGUGGACGGAGGAAGAGGCCCAGGUACCUGAGGGUAGCCCUUGAAUCCUCAGGCCAUGUAGCCUCAUGUUUGUCUGCUCUGAAAAUAGUGAGGAGCCUUCAAAAGGCAGGUCCUGGAUAGACUGCUGGAUCUCCUGAGCGAGUCCUGAUGACUGCAACCAAGAGCAUCAUCUCAUGGUAACAACAGAGGCCAUUGUCCUGGCCACCAUGUCUGCUGCGCCCGGUGCCCCCUGGAAAAAGGCUCUGGCAACAUUCUCUCCUUUUUCUAAGAUGGGUGAAAAUUCCUGCCAUAAGUCUUGAGACAUGGAGUCCUUAAAUUUAGACACAAAUUAUAGUCGUAUCUCCACAGUAAGGCUUGCUGGUUUGAGAUACAUAGUUGUAGACCGCCUGUCAAGUAAACUUUCCUCCCAAAC
Chelonoidis abingdonii (Abingdon island giant tortoise) is the source of this 1649-nucleotide non-coding RNA. The record is from RefSeq and is a predicted model, not a curated record. NCBI's taxonomy places the organism in Eukaryota, Metazoa, Chordata, Testudines, Testudinidae.